AAUAUAUUUAUCUACUUUAAUUUGACUCUUGGGGCUUAAACUUUACAUUCCUAGGAUUAACUAAGACCCAUUACCUCUUAUCACAGCAAAAUUUAUCUUUAGGCAGGGCAUCUUAAAAAGAUGGAAGACAAGAACAGAAGCAGCUGUUUCCCCGAGGUUAAGGGUCCUUCCUUUCACUAUCUGGGUGAAGAGACAUGUUUCCUUCAUUAAAAAUAGCAAGACAGAGCUGGUUCUGUUUAGAAGGGUCUUCCCUUGGAUAACUGGGUGAAGAGACAUGUUUCAUCCUUCAUUCAAAACAGAAAGACAGAGCUGGUUCUGUUUAGAAGAUGCUAUUUGCAACUUUCUGACCCCACCCCAAAUGUGGACAUGUAAGUUACAAGCACAUGCCUUCAUUACUGAAGAAGAAUGAAAACACCCAAGUUCCAGCUACAUUAACAUGGAAAAGUUGUCUCCCAUGUUGCUUAAACCACUGUUACCCUUGUCUAAGGAGACUCUCAGUCAUGCGCUUCAAGGUUUUGGUGAUUAUCUUCAAAGCGCUCCAUGGCAUAGGGCCGGGAUAUUUACGGGACCGCCUGCUGCUACCGGAUACCUCUCACCGACUCAUGCGCUCUCACAGAGAGGGACUCCUCAGGGUGCCGUCGGCCAAACAGUGCCGGCCGGCGACACCCAGGGGAAGGGCCUUCUCUGUGGGGGCUCCCACCCUCUGGAAUGAGCUUCCCCCAGGACUUCGCCAACUUCCUGACCUCCGAACCUUUCGCCACGAGCUUAAGACACAUCUAUUUAUUUGCGCAGGACUGGACUAGAUUUUAAAUUCGAAUUGGUUUUAAUGGGGAUUUUAUUAUUUUAUUAUCAUCAUUUUAAUUAUUCGGCCAAUUAUAAUAAGUUUUUUAAUGGAUGUUUUUAUUUGUAUUUAUAUGUAUAUUUUUAUCUGGUUGUUAACCGCCCUGAGUCCCUAGGGAGAUAGGGCGGUAUAAAAAUACGAAAAAUAAAAAUAAAUAAAUAAAUAAAAUCCAGGUCAUGGUUGUCCCA
This is a long non-coding RNA of Ahaetulla prasina, 1029 nucleotides long. RefSeq lists it as uncharacterized. NCBI's taxonomy places the organism in Eukaryota, Metazoa, Chordata, Lepidosauria, Squamata, Colubridae. The transcript has 4 exons. The record is from RefSeq and is a predicted model, not a curated record.